Molecule: ribosomal RNA, 610 nt
Filed under: uncultured bacterium
Lineage: Bacteria
Description: bacterial SSU rRNA
Rfam family: Bacterial small subunit ribosomal RNA
Source: RNAcentral
GAGUCCGCGUCCCAUUAGCUUGUUGGUGAGGUAAAGGCCCGCCAAGGCGACGAUGGGUAGCUGGUCUGAGAGGAUGAUCAGCCACACUGGGACUGAGACACGGCCCAGACUUCUACGGGAGGCAGCAGUAGGGAAACUUGCACAAUGGGCGCAAGCCUGAUGCAGCAACGCCGCGUGGGUGAAGAAGGCUUUCGAGUUGUAAAGCCCUUUCAGCUGGAAAGAAGGGUGUUGGGGUUAAUAGCCUCGAUACUUGACGGUACCAGAAGAAGAAGCACUGGCUAACUCCGUGCCAGCAGCCGCGGUAAUACGGAGAGUGCAAGCGUUGUUCGGAAUAACUGGGCGUAGAGUGCGAGCAGGCGGGUUUACAAGUCGAUUGUGAAAGCCCAGAGCUUAACUUUGGAAUUGCAGUCGAAACUGUCGACCUUGAAUGCCUGAGAGGAUGGCGGAAUUCCUGGUGUAGAAGUGAAAUUCGUAGAGAUCAGGAGGAACACUUGUGGCGAAGGCGGCCAUCUGGCAGUGCAUUGACGCUGAAUCGCGAAAGCGUGGGGAGCAAACAGGAUUAGAUACCCUGGUAGUCCACGCGGUAAACGAUGAACGCUAGGUGCCGGGG